RNAcentral lists this ribosomal RNA (529 nucleotides) under Owenus sp. 1 BFS-2018. RNAcentral's name for it is "partial 16S large subunit ribosomal RNA". The stretch from base 393 to 529 matches the Rfam family "Archaeal large subunit ribosomal RNA", at positions 2544 to 2680 of the family's 2987-position model. Lineage: Eukaryota; Metazoa; Arthropoda; Insecta; Hymenoptera; Ichneumonidae. The record is from RNAcentral.
AACAUGUCUUUUUGAUUAUAAUAUAAAGUYUAAUCUGCUCCAUGAAUUAUUUAAAUAGCUGCAGUAUUUUAACUGUACUAAGGUAGCAUAAUCAAUAGUUUUUUAAUUAAAAGCUGGAAUGAAUGAUUUAAUAAGGUAAAUAUUGUCUCAAUAUUAAUAAAAUUAUAAUUUUUUUUUUAGUAAAAAAGCUAAAUUAAAUUUAAAAGACGAGAAGACCCUAUAGAUUUUUAUAUUUUAGAUUAAUUAGAUUUUAAAUAAUUAAUAAAUUUUAAUUAAAAAAUAUUUAGUUGGGGAAAUUAUUAAAUUGAAGAAAUUUUAAUAAAUUUAAUUACAAUAAUUAUUGAUAUUUUGUUAGAAUUUGAAUAAAAAUUAAUAGAAUAAAUUACCUUAGGGAUAACAGCGUAAUUUUUUUGAAGAGAUCAUAUUGAUAAAAAAGUUUGCGACCUCGAUGUUGAAUUAAGAUAAAAUUUUAUUGAAGAAAAUAGAAAUUUUUGGUCUGUUCGACCAUUAAAAUCUUACGUGAUCUGAG